GCUUGUCUCAAAGAUUAAGCCAUGCAUGUCUAAGUAUAAACAACUUUAUACUGUAAAACUGCGAACGGCUCAUUAUAUCAGCAAUAAUUUAUUUGAUGGUUUCUUACCCCAUGGAUAACUGUGGUAAUUCUAGAGCUAAUACAUGCGUUAAAACCUGACUUCUUGAAGGGUUGUAUUUAUUAGAUAUUAAACCAAUAGUCUCUGACUGUUGUGAUGAUUCAUAAUAACUGAUCGAAGCGAGGUUCGCCUCGCUAAAUCAUUCAAGUUUCUGCCCUAUCAGCUUUCGAUGGUAGUGUAUUGGACUACCAUGGCAGUCACGGGUAACGGGGAAUUAGGGUUCGAUUCCGGAGAGGGAGCCUGAGAAACGGCUACCACUUCUAAGGAAGGCAGCAGG
Molecule: ribosomal RNA, 394 nt
Filed under: uncultured Askenasia
Lineage: Eukaryota; Ciliophora; Litostomatea; Cyclotrichida; Mesodiniidae
Description: partial small subunit ribosomal RNA
Rfam family: Eukaryotic small subunit ribosomal RNA
Source: RNAcentral